RNAcentral lists this long non-coding RNA (2120 nucleotides) under Salmo salar (Atlantic salmon). RNAcentral describes it as "lncRNA (ENSSSAG00000114271.1)". The record is from RNAcentral. Lineage: Eukaryota; Metazoa; Chordata; Actinopteri; Salmoniformes; Salmonidae.
CACUCCGGGCAACUGCGACAGUCGUCUUCCACGGCCCUCCUUAUCCCGGACCAGUGGAACCGGUGGCGAUCCGUUCCCGGGUCUUCUCCAUUCCCAGGUGCGCCCCCAACAGGUGGACCAGCUGAAGAACGGUUCCCACGUACCGUCGGGGUAGCAACAAUAUCUCUUGAAGUUCCCCCUGUUGGUGCGACACCUGACACAAAAGGUUAUUCUUGAUUUGGAAAUAGGGGUAUCGCCAGUCACUCACCCCCGGAAGUAGCUGUCCAUCCACCGUUAUCACUUGGGCUGCAGCGGCUUUGAAGUUAGGAUCCUCCCACUGGACCGUCCCGAAUUGUCCCCUCAGUUGGCCCCCAGACUGGCCCCUCGAAAUCGAGGAGGGGGAGGCUGGGCUCUUCCUCCCGUGGUUCCCCAGUGGGGUCAGGUUCCAGCACCCCCUCCGACUCCAGCUCCGGACCCGUAGAUACAGGUUGGUCAACCGUUUGCUUCCGGGCCGCACAGGCGAUGGGUCAUCCUCGCUCUUGUCUUCGGCCAGCUCGUACCUUCUUCCUCAGCUCGUGCCCCCACAGGGCCGCAAACAGCGGACAAUCUCAUCCCACUAGGAGAGGUACCGGCAACUCUGGUACUGCACCCACCAUCAUCUGGCAGCUCCUUUGGGGCGUCACAAUGUUGGCCCGUAUGGUUGGAUACCGCUUUGUGUCCCCAUGAACACAGGAAAUUGACAUCUCCCUACCACGUUCGGUCUCCUGGUUCAGCAGGCACAUGGUUACGAGGGUAACCAUACUUCCGGAGUCCAAUAGAGCUUCCGUGUCGUGCCCUUCUGCCCUUCUGGCAGCUUUAUGGGCCUUGCACAGCUGGUGAGCAAUCAGCCCUUGAUUACUCACCAACUCCCAAUCAGCCCCAAUUAGUCCUGGACGGAGAGCCCGUCGAGAUCUGGCAUGUCCAGCCAAUGGAGCCAUCGCCUCGUGACGUACACUCUGUCUGUCACCAGGCCUCGACGAGUCUCCCCCUGGUGGCUGACCUGCUGUACGCCACAAUGAAUACAACAGUAUAUAUAGCAUGUUAACAUAGAGAUAUAUAUAUAUAAACUAUACAACAGUAUAUAUAGCAUGUUAACAUGGGAAUAUAUAUCAUCUAUAAAUGAAUAUAACAGUCUAUAUGGGUCCAGUGUUGGUUUCUUGAGGAUGGAAGCGACUCGGGCCAUCUUGAAGUCAGUUGUCAGGGAUGAGUUGGUGAGGGAAGUGAGGAAUGGGAGAAGGUCUCCAGAGAUGAGUUGAUGAAGGAAGUGAGAAGGUCUCCAGAGAUGGUGUGGAGAAGGGAAUGGGGAUGAGUUGAUGAGGGAAGUAAGAAGGUCUCCAGAGAUGGUGUGGAGAAGUGAGGAGGGAAUGGGGUUGAGUUGAUGAGGGAAGUUAGGAAGGGGAGGUCUCCAGAGAUGGUCUGGAGAAGGGAAGAGGGAAUGGGGUUGAGUUGAUGAGGGAAGUGAGGAAGGGGAGGUCUCCAGAGAUGGUCUAGAGAAGGGAGGAGGGGUUGAGUGGGCAGGUUGUCGGGCGGACGGACAUCACUAAUCGCAGGAUUUUAUCUGGAGUGAGAGGGGAGAAAGAGGUCAAGGCGUAUGGUAGUUAUGGAGAGAGAUGGGAGAAAGAGGUCAAGGCGUAUGGUAGUUAUGGAGAGAGAGGGGAGAAAGAGGUCAAGGCGUAUGGUAGUUAUGGAGAGAGAUGGGAUAAAGAGGUCAAGGCGUAGGGUAGUUAUGGAGAGAGAGGGGAGAAAGAGGUCAAGGUGUAUGGUAGUUAUGGAGAGAGAGGGGAGAAAGAGGUCAAGGUGUAUGGUAGUUAUGGAGAGAGAGGGGAGAAAGAGGUCAAGGUGUAUGGUAGUUAUGGAGAGAGAGGGGAGAACGAGGUCAAGGUGUAUGGUAGUUAUGUGUGAGUGGGACCAGUGGACUCAGUAGGCUGAGUGAAUGAGGAGCAGAUGCCCUCUAGUGACCACUAUUCCAACACUAUAGUCAAUUACUUUGGGCCAAAGUCUCCCAAAGCUGUCUAAUACAUCUGGUCUAAAGUAGUGCACUAGGAAGGGAACAGGGCUCUGGUCUAAAGUAGUGCACUAUGAAGGGAACAGGGCUCUGGUCU